GAUGAACGCUGGCGGCGUGCCUAAUACAUGCAAGUCGAGCGAACAGACGAGGAGCUUGCUCCUCUGACGUUAGCGGCGGACGGGUGAGUAACACGUGGAUAACCUACCUAUAAGACUGGGAUAACUUCGGGAAACCGGAGCUAAUACCGGAUAAUAUAUUGAACCGCAUGGUUCAAUAGUGAAAGACGGUUUUGCUGUCACUUAUAGAUGGAUCCGCGCCGCAUUAGCUAGUUGGUAAGGUAACGGCUUACCAAGGCGACGAUGCGUAGCCGACCUGAGAGGGUGAUCGGCCACACUGGAACUGAGACACGGUCCAGACGCCUACGGGAGGCAGCAGUAGGGAAUCUUCCGCAAUGGGCGGAAGCCUGACGGAGCAACGCCGCGUGAGUGAUGAAGGUCUUCGGAUCGUAAAACUCUGUUAUUAGGGAAGAACAAAUGUGUAAGUAACUAUGCACGUCUUGACGGUACCUAAUCAGAAAGCCACGGCUAACUACGUG
RNAcentral lists this ribosomal RNA (497 nucleotides) under uncultured bacterium. Its description in RNAcentral is "partial 16S ribosomal RNA". It matches the Rfam family "Bacterial small subunit ribosomal RNA", at positions 28 to 507 of the family's 1533-position model. The record is from RNAcentral.